UGGGGAAUAUUGCACAAUGGGCGAAAGCCUGAUGCAGCAACGCCGCGUGAGGGACGACGGCCUUCGGGUUGUAAACCUCUUUUAGCAAGGAAGAAGCGAAAGUGACGGUACUUGCAGAAAAAGCGCCGGCUAACUACGUGCCAGCAGCCGCGGUAAUACGUAGGGCGCAAGCGUUAUCCGGAAUUAUUGGGCGUAAAGAGCUCGUAGGCGGUUUGUCGCGUCUGCUGUGAAAACCCGAGGCUCAACCUCGGGCCUGCAGUGGGUACGGGCAGACUAGAGUGCGGUAGGGGAGAUUGGAACUCCUGGUGUAGCGGUGGAAUGCGCAGAUAUCAGGAAGAACACCGAUGGCGAAGGCAGAUCUCUGGGCCGUAACUGACGCUGAGGAGCGAAAGGGUGGGGAGCAAACAGGCUUAGAUACCCUGGUAGUCCACCCCGUAAACGUUGGGAACUAGUUGUGGGGUCCAUUCCACGGAUUCCGUGACGCAGCUAACGCAUUAAGUUCCCCGCCUGGGGAGUAC
RNAcentral lists this ribosomal RNA (518 nucleotides) under uncultured bacterium. Its description in RNAcentral is "partial 16S ribosomal RNA". It matches the Rfam family "Bacterial small subunit ribosomal RNA", at positions 355 to 883 of the family's 1533-position model. The record is from RNAcentral.